CGGUCUGGUGGCGAGUGGCGAACGGGUGAGUAAUGCAUCGGAACGUGCCCAACUGUGGGGGAUAGCUCGGCGAAAGCCGGAUUAAUACCGCAUACGAUCCACGGAUGAAAGCGGGGGACCUUCGGGCCUCGCGCAGUUGGAGCGGCCGAUGUUAGAUUAGGUAGUUGGUGGGGUAAAGGCUCACCAAGCCGACGAUCUAUAGCUGGUCUGAGAGGACGACCAGCCACACUGGGACUGAGACACGGCCCAGACUCCUACGGGAGGCAGCAGUGGGGAAUUUUGGACAAUGGGCGCAAGCCUGAUCCAGCAAUACCGCGUGCAGGAAGAAGGCCUUCGGGUUGUAAACUGCUUUUGUACGGAACGAAAAGGUCUGGGUUAAUACCCUGGGCUCAUGACGGUACCGUAAGAAUAAGCACCGGCUAACUACGUGCCAGCAGCCGCGGUAAUACGUAGGGUGCAAGCGUUAAUCGGAAUUACUGGGCGUAAAGCGUGCGCAGGCGGUUAUGUAAGACAGGCGUGAAAUCCCCGGGCUCAACCUGGGAAUUGCGCUUGUGACUGCAUAACUAGAGUACGGUAGAGGGGGAUGGAAUUCCGCGUGUAGCAGUGAAAUGCGUAGAUAUGCGGAGGAACACCAAUGGCGAAGGCAGUCCCCUGGACCUGUACUGACGCUCAUGCACGAAAGCGUGGGGAGCAAACAGGA
RNAcentral lists this ribosomal RNA (700 nucleotides) under uncultured beta proteobacterium. RNAcentral describes it as "bacterial SSU rRNA". It matches the Rfam family "Bacterial small subunit ribosomal RNA", at positions 81 to 777 of the family's 1533-position model. Lineage: Bacteria; Pseudomonadati; Pseudomonadota; Betaproteobacteria. The record is from RNAcentral.